Molecule: RNase P RNA, 344 nt
Filed under: Entomospira nematocerorum
Lineage: Bacteria; Pseudomonadati; Spirochaetota; Spirochaetia; Spirochaetales; Spirochaetaceae
Description: Bacterial RNase P class A
Rfam family: Bacterial RNase P class A
About the family: Ribonuclease P (RNase P) is a ubiquitous endoribonuclease, found in archaea, bacteria and eukarya as well as chloroplasts and mitochondria.
Source: Rfam by way of RNAcentral
AGGCAGAUUCGAAUUGUCGCUCUAAGGAGAGGAAAGUCCGGGCCUUAUAGGGGAGAACGCAGGCUAAUAACCUGACAUAAGAGAUAUCUCUUGUGAUGGAAAGUGCCACAGAAAAUAAACCGCUAGAGUGAUAUCUAGUAAGGGUGAAAAGGUGUGGUAAGAGCACACCGCACAAUUGGUGACAAUUGUGGCAGGGUAAACCCCGUUCAAGGCAAGCUCAAGCAGUAAGGAGGUUCCCCGCCUAUUAACCUUACGGGUAGAGUGCAAAGAAAGUACUGGAGACAGUGCUUCAAGAUAGAUGACAAUGAAAACAGAACCCGGCUUAUGAGAGAGUCUGCCUUUUU